Molecule: ribosomal RNA, 66 nt
Filed under: Schaalia canis
Lineage: Bacteria; Bacillati; Actinomycetota; Actinomycetes; Actinomycetales; Actinomycetaceae
Source: RNAcentral
UGCGGCGGCAACAGCGUGGGGGAAACGCCCGGACCCAUCCCGAACCCGGAAGCUAAGCCCCACAGC